This 410-nucleotide ribosomal RNA is filed under the name uncultured bacterium. Its description in RNAcentral is "bacterial SSU rRNA". It matches the Rfam family "Bacterial small subunit ribosomal RNA", at positions 370 to 772 of the family's 1533-position model. The record is from RNAcentral.
AAUGGGCGCAAGCCUGAUCCAGCCAUGCCGCGUGCGGGAAGAAGGCCUUCGGGUUGUAAACCGCUUUCGGACGGAAAGAAAUCGCUUGGGUUAAUACCCUGAGUGGAUGACGGUACCGUAAGAAGAAGCACCGGCUAACUACGUGCCAGCAGCCGCGGUAAUACGUAGGGUGCGAGCGUUAAUCGGAAUUACUGGGCGUAAAGCGUGCGCAGGCGGAUUGUUAAGCAAGAUGUGAAAUCCCCGGGCUUAACCUGGGAAUUGCAUUUUGAACUGGCAGUCUGGAGUGCGGCAGAGGGGGGUGGAAUUCCACGUGUAGCAGUGAAAUGCGUAGAGAUGUGGAGGAACACCGAUGGCGAAGGCAGCCCCCUGGGCCUGCACUGACGCUCAUGCACGAAAGCGUGGGGAGCAAA